GAAAACCUUGAAGAUAGCGUCUGAAAUCAAGGACGUCGUUCUGAGGCUUGAUAGCAAGUCUGGAUCGAGCAAUCCGGUGGAUUUAAUUGUGAAGGUUCCUGAGAUUACAGAAGAAAGUGUUGGAUUGGAAACGCCAGUUGAGAAAUUGAAGGCGAAACUUUUCAAAGAUGGGGUUCGAUUGUUGGUAUUGACAGCUCCCGGAGGUUGUGGAAAAAGCACUCUGGCCGUAAGAUUUUGUCACGACAAGCAAGUUAAAAAUAAAUUUCAGAGAAACAUCUUUUUCCUCACUGUUUCAAGCAAACCUGAUACGAAACUCAUCUUAAAAUCUAUAAUUCAAAGCCUCGGGAGGCCUGUAGUAUCAG
RNAcentral lists this unclassified non-coding RNA (362 nucleotides) under Hevea brasiliensis (rubber tree). The record is from RNAcentral. Lineage: Eukaryota; Viridiplantae; Streptophyta; Magnoliopsida; Malpighiales; Euphorbiaceae.